This 478-nucleotide ribosomal RNA is filed under the name uncultured bacterium. RNAcentral describes it as "partial 16S ribosomal RNA". It matches the Rfam family "Bacterial small subunit ribosomal RNA", at positions 28 to 523 of the family's 1533-position model. The record is from RNAcentral.
GACGAACGCUGGCGGCAUGCCUAACACAUGCAAGUCGAGCGAGCUGAUUCCUUCGGGAUGAAGCUAGCGGCGGACGGGUGAGUAACACGUGGGCAACCUGCCUCAUAGAGGGGAAUAGCCUCCCGAAAGGAAGAUUAAUACCGCAUAAGCUUGCAUCUUCGCAUGAAGAAGCAAUUAAAGGAGUAAUCCGCUAUGAGAUGGGCCCGCGGCGCAUUAGCUAGUUGGUGAGGUAAAGGCUCACCAAGGCGACGAUGCGUAGCCGACCUGAGAGGGUGAUCGGCCACAUUGGGACGGAGACACGGCCCGGACUCCUACGGGAGGCAGCAGUGGUGGAUAUUGCACAAUGGGGGAAACCCUGAUGCAGCAAUGCCGCGUGAGUGAUGACGGCCUUCGGGUUGUAAAGCUCUGUCUUCGGGGACGAUAAUGACGGUACCCGAGGAGGAAGCCACGGCUAACUACGUGCCAGCCGCCGCAGUAA